This 410-nucleotide ribosomal RNA is filed under the name uncultured microorganism. Its description in RNAcentral is "bacterial SSU rRNA". It matches the Rfam family "Bacterial small subunit ribosomal RNA", at positions 509 to 917 of the family's 1533-position model. The record is from RNAcentral.
CAGCCGCCGCGGUAAUACGUAGGGUGCGAGCGUUAAUCGGAUUUACUGGGCGUAAAGCGUGCGCAGGCGGCCCGUUAAGACAGGUGUGAAAUCCCUGGGCUCAACCCAGGAAUUGCGCUUGUGACUGGCGGGCUCGAGUACGGUAGAGGGGGGUGGAAUUCCUGGUGUAGCAGUGAAAUGCGUAGAGAUCAGGAGGAACACCGAUGGCGAAGGCAGCCCCCUGGGCCUGUACUGACGCUCAUGCACGAAAGCGUGGGGAGCAAACAGGAUUAGAUACCCUGGUAGUCCACGCCCUAAACGAUGGGUACUAGCCGUUUGGUGCGCGAUAGCGCUGAGUGGCGAAGCUAACGCGUGAAGUACCCCGCCUGGGGAGUACGGCCGCAAGGUUGAAACUUAAAGGAAUUGGCGGG